Molecule: ribosomal RNA, 254 nt
Filed under: uncultured bacterium
Lineage: Bacteria
Description: partial 16S ribosomal RNA
Rfam family: Bacterial small subunit ribosomal RNA
Source: RNAcentral
UACGUAGGGGGCGAGCGUUGUCCGGAUUUAUUGGGCGUAAAGAGCUCGUAGGCGGUUUGGUAAGUUGGAUGUGAAAUCUCCAGGCUCAACUUGGAGGGGUCAUUCGAUACUGCCAUGACUAGAGUUCGGUAGGGGAGUGUGGAAUUCCUGGUGGAGCGGUGAAAUGCGCAGAUAUCAGGAGGAACACCCGUAGCGAAGGCGGCACUCUGGGCCGGAACUGACGCUCAGGCACGAAAGCGUGGGGAGCAAACAGG